RNAcentral lists this ribosomal RNA (253 nucleotides) under uncultured bacterium. RNAcentral's name for it is "partial 16S ribosomal RNA". It matches the Rfam family "Bacterial small subunit ribosomal RNA", at positions 524 to 776 of the family's 1533-position model. The record is from RNAcentral.
UACGGAGGGGGCUAGCGUUGUUCGGAAUUACUGGGCGUAAAGCGCACGUAGGCGGCUUUGUAAGUUAGAGGUGAAAGCCCGGAGCUCAACUCCGGAAUUGCCUUUAAGACUGCAUCGCUUGAAUCAUGGAGAGGUGAGUGGAAUUCCGAGUGUAGAGGUGAAAUUCGUAGAUAUUCGGAAGAACACCAGUGGCGAAGGCGACUCACUGGACCACAACUGACGCUGAGGCGCGAAAGCUAGGGGAGCAAACAGG